UGAAUACGAGAUGCUACGGCGUCGAAGCAGUCUAUGUCAUACUUCCAAGAAAAGCUUGCACUGUCAUAAACAAAUAAUGCCUGUACCAUAACCGACACAGGUGGGUAGGUAGAGUAUACUAAGGGGCGCGAGAUAACUCUCUCUAAGGAACUCGGCAAAAUGACUCCGUAACUUCGGGAGAAGGAGUGCCUUAUUUUAUAAGGUUGCAAUAACAAGAUCCAAGCAACUGUUUACCAAAAACACAGGUCUCCGCUAAGUCGUAAGACGAUGUAUGGGGGCUGACGCCUGCCCAGUGCCAGAAGGUUAAAGAAGUUGGUUAGCAUCCGCGAAGCUGAUAACUGAAGCCCUGGUGAACGGCGGCCGUAACAAUAACGGUCCUAAGGUAGCGAAAUUCCUUGUCGGGUAAGUUCCGACCCGCACGAAAGGCGUAAUGAUUUGGAUACUGUCUCAGAGAGGGGCUCGGUGAAAUAGACUUGUCUGUGAAGAUGCGGACUACCUGCACCAGGACAGAAAGACCCUAUGAAGCUUUACUGUAACUUGAAAUUGAAAUUGGACUUUACUUGCGCAGUAUAGGUGGGAGGCGUUGAGAAUAUUCUUCGGGAAUGUUGGAGCCAUCAGUGAGAUACCACUCUUGUAAUGUUAGAUUUCUAACUUUGUAUCAUUAUCUGGUCAAAGGACAGUUUCAGGCGGGCAGUUUGACUGGGGCGGUCGCCUCCCAAACGGUAACGGAGGCGCACAAAGGUUUCCUCUGAACGGGUAGAAAUCGUAUCUAGAGUGUAAAGGCAUAAGGAAGCUUGACUGUGAGACCUACAAGUCGAGCAGGGACGAAAGUCGGUCUUAGUGAUCUGACGGUGCUGAGUGGAAAGGCCGUCACUCAACGGAUAAAAGUUACUCUAAGGAUAACAGGCUGAUCUCCCCCAAGAGUUCACAUCGACGGGGAGGUUUGGCACCUCGAUGUCGGCUCAUCGCAUCCUGGGGCGGUAGUACGUCCCAAGGGUUGGGCUGUUCGCCCAUGAAAGCGGUACGCGAGCUGGGUUCAGAACGUCGUGAGACAGUUCGGUCCAUAUCCGGUGUAGGCGUUAGAAUAUUGAGAGGAGCCUUCUUUAGUACGAGAGGACCGAGAAGGACAUACCUCUGGUGUACCAGUUAUCGUGCCAACGGUAAACGCUGGGUAGCUAUGUAUGGAGUGGAUAACCGCUGAAAGCAUCUAAGUGGGAAGCCCACCUCAAGAUAAG
RNAcentral lists this ribosomal RNA (1235 nucleotides) under metagenome. RNAcentral's name for it is "bacterial LSU rRNA". It matches the Rfam family "Bacterial large subunit ribosomal RNA", at positions 1564 to 2808 of the family's 2925-position model. The record is from RNAcentral.